UUUUUUUUUAAAUACUAGGGAUUCAACCCAGGGGUGCUUUGCCACUGAGCUCCAAUCCCCAGCUCUUUUUAUUUUUUUAUUUUGACAUAGGGUCUUGCUAGUUCUGAGCCAGACCUUGAGCAUGUGGGAUUAUAGGCAUUUGACAUUGUCCCUGACCAGAUACUAACUUUUGAUUCAAAAUGUAUAUGCUUAUUCAACUAAUGGUUAUUAAUCACUGUAUUUGACAGUGACUCUUACAUCUGAAUCCUGCUUUUGUAGUUUAGUGGUAACAUUAAGAAACUUGUGAGAUAGUUAUUAUUUCUUUGUUGGGAAAUGAGACUAAGGGGAGAAAGCCUGUGGCUCACGAAAUUCUUGUAUUUACAUAUUGUACUUAGAGAGUCAGUAAAUAGCAUCUGUUCUGCACCCAAGUCUAGAAUUAGUUAAGAGAUGGUUGCAGAAAACGGGCUACUUUUAGUUACAUGUCACCUUCAUCACUGAUAGAAUCAUUAGGAUGAGGAGCCUUAAGUCUGGUAGCUAAGUGACUUGUUAUUAAUUCAGAAACAGUUACGAAUGGAACUGGCAAACCAGGAUCCUGUUAACUUUAAGUCUGGAAGAAAAGGGGAUCUGGUGUCUGUCAGUGUUUUAAGGUCUGAGAGUGAGAAAAAAGAGGCUAAGCCACAUACAAUUAGUGCCUCCCAUGCCCACCCCUGGAAAAAGUUAGGGGUAGAGAGAGGAGUGUUCCCGAGUAAUUAGCAAAACAUCAUGGAAAUUGGAAGAGGGAAUAGGUACUCUUUCCUAAUGUUAUUUUAGGGCAAAAUGUAGCAUAUUGUGUACAUGAGGUAGUAGGGUGUUUGGAGAAAUAAACAUACUUUCCUAUUUAAUAGUAAUUAGAGUGCCUGAGCUAGAAUGGGUUGUUACCCUCUAUCUAGUAUUCUGACCAUGUUACAUAGUUACCAAUAGUAAGUAACUGUUUGUAUCUUCCCAUUGUCAUCAAUGUAUGUUGCACGGUAUUUCUGUUGCCAAAGUCUCACCAAUUCACCAGAGUGAUUAGGGUUGCACUGGUUUGGAUGAGCCAUAGCCCCAUGUGAUUUACUGUGCUCACUUUGCUUUAAUAGUAGGAUCUGGCCACAAUGGUAGUAAAUGUGAAAAUUUAUAGUCAAUAUAUAUUCAUAUAUUAGUAAAAAUUUGGAUAUUUAUAGUAUAUGGUACAAUUAUAACAUUAAUGUAAUACAAUUAUGGUCAUAGCAUUAAUUUAAAAGUAGCAUUCAGUCCUGAUUCAACAAAUUCUUGGGAUUCUUUCAAAAAAAUCUUGGCUGAUGUCAGAAAUUAGCAAAAACACAUAGUCCUUGUGUUAUUAACAGUGGGCCAGAAAUGUGAAGGCCUGGGAUGGGAAGGGCUGUGUUGCAUUUGUGGAACUGAUAGUGUCCCAGGUGGCCUGAAGACAAAGGAGAGGGAGAGGCAAUCUGGCACUAGAUCUUGUAGGCUACAUCAAGGUUAUUGGCUUUUAAAAGUGGUAGAGAAAAAAGUAAAGGAUUUUGUAGUAAGGGGAGACAGCACCAUUAGUACAAUGGGGAGAAUGGAUUUGAGGGGGAUGCGGUAUGGAAGUGGGUUGGGAGUCUGUUGUAGGACUGCAGGUCAGAGAUGAUGAUGGCUUGGAGCAAGGUAAUGGUAGUGGAAGUGGAAAAGUGGAAGGAUUCAAGGUACUUUAGAGAGAAAGUUGACAGACAUUGUCUGUGGUUUGGUGUAGGGAUUUGAAGGAGAAGGCAAUGAUUAGAAUUGGUCUAAGGUUUUUGUCUUAAUGGUUUCUGGGCCCAUUCAUGACGUUGGUCAGUCACUGGAAGAUGAAUACAUUUAUUGGAGGUAGAAUUUGACUUCAUAUUAAAUUGAAGUGCAUGUGACACAUCCAUGUUAGUAUAUCAUAUAGCAGUGAGUUUUGUGGGUGUGGAACUCAUGUUUGGGAUAGUUGACCUAGAUGAUUUGAAGUUGUAGAUAUGGGUGAGAUUGCUUAGGGAAGAAGGUCUCCAUUUGAAUUGCACAUUGGAAUCAUUUGAGCUCUGAAGAAAGAUUACCCAAAGAUGCUAGGGUGUAGCUGAUCUAGGGUCAAAUUUGGGCAUUGGGCUUUUAGAAUCUCCUCUGAUAGUACUAAUGUGUAAACAAGUUUCAGACCUGCUGGCCUUUAGCAGAUCUGAGACUAGAAGAGGAAUCAGCAUUGACCCUUGAGUAACACAAAUAAUCAGUCAAGAGAAGGACGAACCUAUCUAGGAGACUAUUAAGAAGUGGCUGGGGAGGUAGGUAGGAAACUAAGUGUGGUGUCAUAGAAGUGAGUGAGAGUUGCCAGGGGAGUCUGUGGCUGCUCUGAAGCCAGUUCAAUGGAAUUUGGUUUAGCAACAUGAUCAUCAUUUACUAGUAGAUCUGUUAGUAGGAGUCUUGGAACAGAAGGUGGUUGGAGUGAGUUGAAUAAAGUGAGAAGAAAUGGAGACAGCUAGCGUAGGUAACUUGUAAACUUGCUGGGGGAGAGACUGAAGCUUAAGAGGUAUGCCAUUAGAUUAAGAUAUUUUGGGCUUCACAAAACAAACUGAGGCAAAUGGUGUAAAUGGUGAAGAAAACAAUCUCAUUCACAAGUUCAAAAAGAAGGUGGUUCUAAGAUUAUUGAACAGUGUAAUCAGAGACCUGUUUUCUUCCAGCCUUAGAGUGUCACUUGGUCAGCGGGCUGUCCCUUCAGGAUGGCAGAGUGGCCAUUGUGGCUCAGACAUCAAACCAGAUAAUGGUCUCCAACAGAAAAAAGAUAGUUUUUCUUUGUAGGUGGUUUUUUUUUUUUUUUUUAAGAUCUUAGUACAUGUUUUCAAAGACCAAACAACUGAAACCACCCACAUCACAGACCCAGUACCUAAGAAGUCCCCCUUGUUUCUCCUUCCAGUCACUACCCAAGUCCUUCCCCUGUAUUACUACUGUUCUGACUUCCAGAGGUUAGUUUUGCCUGUCUUUGUGCAAUUAUAAAUGGAAUUGCAUACUAUGUGCUCUUCUGUGUUUGGCUUUUAGCAUUCUUUUUGAGAUCCAUAUUGUUGCAUGUAGUUGUAAAGUGUUCAUCUAUUGCAUGAAUAUACCAUGUUUUAUCCAUUCUAUCGUCGAUGGGCAUUUUGGUAGUUUCUAGUAUUUGGCUUUUACAGAUAGUGUUGUAAAUGUAUGUAUCCAUUUUUGUUAAAGUGUAUAAUCGAGGACUUGAAUUGCUGGGACAGAAGGUAUGCUUGUAUUUAGCCUUACUGCAUAGUUUCCUAUGUGGUUUUAUCACUUUAUGGUCUUACUGGCAACAUGUGAAUUUCAGUUCCAUGUCCUCACCAGCACUUAUCAUUUUGCAUCUUUCAUUUUAGAUAUUUUGGUGGGAGUAUAUAGCACUGUAAUUUUAAUUUGCAUUUCUAUAAUUCAAGUAAGGAUAUUUAAGUUGAGUAUUUUUCCAUAUGCUUAUUGACUAUUUGGAUAUUCUCUUGGUCUUUUGCUCGAUUUUUAUUUUUCCUAGGUUGAAUGUCUUAUUCAUUUGUGGGAGUUUUUUUGUAUUGUUUUGUAUUCUGGAUGAGUCCUUGGUCAGACUUAUGUUGCAGAUGUCUUCUCAGUACCUUUUCAUUCUUGAUGUUUUCACUGAGAAGUUAUUAAUUUUAAUAUAGUAGGUUCUAUUAAUUAUUUCCUUUAUGGUAAGUGCUUUUUGUGUGUAGUCUUUGCUUACUCCAAAGCCACCAAGGUGUCCUCUGUUUCUUCUACAAUUUUAACUUUGAUAAUUAGAUCUGCAAGCCCUCUGAAGUUGAUUUUUGUAUUUCAUGUGAGGUAGGGUUCAAAAUUCAUAUGACUGUCCAAUUGACCCAGCACCAUUUCUUAAAAAAGUAUUAUUUUCUCCAUGCACUGCAGUGUCACUUUGUCAUAAAUCAGGUGAUUGUGUCAAAUCCAUUCCUGGUUUCUCUUUUGUUUUCUGUUGGUUAAGUUGUCUUACAUACUUUUUAAUUUUUUUUUCUUUUUUGUAUAUAGCCUUUUACUAGGAAUUGCUAUCUGGUGGUAUGAUACCUAGUUUUGUUCUUCCUUAUAAUCUCUUUUUAAGAAUAAUGAAUUAAUAUGUGUGAAUACAAAAUGAUAAACCAAUGAAUUUUAAACCAGAUAAAUAGGGGAAUAGGAAAAAGAGAAAGCAGGCAAAUCAAUGAGUUAGACCCCCUGAGAAGAUAGUAGGAAAUAGUUUAACCAGUAAGAGUUGGAUGCCCUCACAGGUGGAUUUAGGAGUUUGACAGUUCUGAGUGAUGCUAAGUUUUGCCAAAGGGGUGUGAUGGUAGAUGACUGAGUUGAGGUAUGGGAGGUUGUUGAAGGUAAGCCAGGCAACUGAGAGACUGAGUAUGCAUAUACUGAUGUUUACAUUUUCUAACUUAGCAUCUACCUCAAAACAGCUAGAAAAGAAAGAAUUAUUAUCUUCAUUUUACAGUUGAGAAGGUGGGUUCAGGGAUAUUAAUGACUUGUUUAAGGCCCCAGGAGAAUUAGCAGUUGAAUUGGACUUAACUUAGGCCUUCUGUCCAGGAAUGCAUGCUCUGUUCGUAUAGCUUAGCUAACAAGACCUGGGAGUUAAAAUUUUGGCUACAGAAGUCUUAUUAUUGAAAGGCAAAAUUAUUGCACGCAAAUAUACAAAUUUUCAGUUAUGCAUAUGGUAAGAUGUUGAUACGAUAUAUGCAGGAAAUACUCCAGAAAUGCUGAAAAUACUUAUUCCUGGGUUGUUGUGAUUGUGACUCUGGGUGACUUUUCCCCUUUGUUUUACUUUUAUGUAUUUUCCAAAUUUCCUAUAAUGGACGUAUAUUAUGUGGAUUUUAAAAAAUUAGUAUUUGACUAAAUGAUAUACAUGGAAAAUUCAGAACAUAAAAAUAGAUAGCAAUAUACAGUACUUUUACAAAAAUAAAAGAAUGGAGAUGUUUAAAUAUU
Molecule: long non-coding RNA, 4923 nt
Filed under: Marmota monax (woodchuck)
Lineage: Eukaryota; Metazoa; Chordata; Mammalia; Rodentia; Sciuridae
Source: RNAcentral